This is a long non-coding RNA of Oncorhynchus nerka (sockeye salmon), 164 nucleotides long. RefSeq lists it as uncharacterized. Lineage: Eukaryota; Metazoa; Chordata; Actinopteri; Salmoniformes; Salmonidae. The transcript has 2 exons. The record is from RefSeq and is a predicted model, not a curated record.
UUAACUCAAUGAUUAGAUUUACUAUUUAUUGUUUUACAUGGUUUACAAACUGAUGUGACACGUAUCAAUGACAAAACAACAUGCAAAACAGGCAAUCCCCCCUAAAAAUGUGGGGCUCAAAACAGGUGGGGCUCAAAACAGUGGGGCUCAAAACAGUGGGGCUC